RNAcentral lists this ribosomal RNA (440 nucleotides) under uncultured Pseudomonas sp. RNAcentral's name for it is "bacterial SSU rRNA". It matches the Rfam family "Bacterial small subunit ribosomal RNA", at positions 358 to 789 of the family's 1533-position model. The record is from RNAcentral. Lineage: Bacteria; Pseudomonadati; Pseudomonadota; Gammaproteobacteria; Pseudomonadales; Pseudomonadaceae.
GGAAUAUUGGACAAUGGGCGAAAGCCUGAUCCAGCCAUGCCGCGUGUGUGAAGAAGGUCUUCGGAUUGUAAAGCACUUUAAGUUGGGAGGAAGGGUAUUAACCUAAUACGUUAGUACUUUGACGUUACCGACAGAAUAAGCACCGGCUAACUCUGUGCCAGCAGCCGCGGUAAUACAGAGGGUGCAAGCGUUAAUCGGAAUUACUGGGCGUAAAGCGCGCGUAGGUGGUUUGUUAAGUUGAAUGUGAAAUCCCCGGGCUCAACCUGGGAACUGCAUCCAAAACUGGCAAGCUAGAGUAUGGUAGAGGGUAGUGGAAUUUCCUGUGUAGCGGUGAAAUGCGUAGAUAUAGGAAGGAACACCAGUGGCGAAGGCGACUACCUGGACUGAUACUGACACUGAGGUGCGAAAGCGUGGGGAGCAAACAGGAUUAGAUACCCCUG